AGUUCGAUCCUGGCUCAGAUUGAACGCUGGCGGGAUGCUUUACACAUGCAAGUCGAACGGCAGCACGGACUUCGGUCUGGUGGCGAGUGGCGAACGGGUGAGUAAUGUGUCGGAACGUGCCUAGUAGCGGGGGAUAACUACGCGAAAGCGUAGCUAAUACCGCAUACGCCCUUCAGGGAGAAAGCGGGGGACCUUCGGGCUUUCGCACUAUUAGAGCGGCCGAUAUCGGAUUAGCUCGUUGGUGGGGUAACGGCUCACCCGACGAUCCGUAGCUGGUUUGAGAGGACGACCAGCCACACUGGGACUGAGACACGGCCCAGACUCCUACAGGAGGCAGCAGUGGGGAAUUUUGGACAAUGGGGAAACCUGAUCCAGCCAUCCCGCGUGUGCGAUGAAGGCCUUCGGAGUUUGUAAAGCACUUUUGGCAGGAAAAGAAACGGCACGGGAUAAUACCCCGUGCAACUGACGGUACCUGCAGAAUAAGCACCGGCUAACUACGUGCCAGCAACCGCGGUAAUACGUAGGGUGCAAGCGUUAAUCGGAAUUACUGGGCGUAAAGCGUGCGCAGGCGGUUCCGGAAGAAGAUGUGAAAUCCAGAGCUUAACUUUGGAACUGCAUUUUUAACUACCGAGCUAGAGUGUGUCAGAGGAGGUGGAAUUCCGCGUGUAGCAGUGAGAAAUGCGUAGAUAUGCGGAGGAACACCGAUAGCGAAGGCAGCCUCCUGGGAUAACACUGACGCUCAUGCACGAAAGCGUGGGGGCAAACAGGAUUAGAUACCCUGGUAGUCCACGCCCUAAACGAUGUCAACUAGCUGUUGGGGCCUUCGGGCCUUGGUAGCGCAGCUAACGCGUGAAGUUGACCGCCUGGGGAAUACGGUCAUAAGAUUAAAACUCAAAGGAAUUGACAGGGACCCGCACAAGCGGUGGAUGAUGUGGAUUAAUUCCGUGCAACGCGAAAAACCUUACCUACCCUUGACAUGUCUGGAAUCCCGAAGAGAUUUGGGAGUGCUCGCAAGAGAACCGGAGCACAGGUGCUGCAUGGCUGUCGUCAGCUCGUGUCGUGAGAUGUUGGGUUAAGUCCCGCAACGAGCGCAACCCUUGUCAUUAGUUGCUACGAAGGGCACUCUAAUGAGACUGCCGGUGACAAACCGGAGGAAGGUGGGGAUGACGUCAAGUCCUCAUGGCCCAUAUGGGUAGGGCUUCACACGUCAUACAAUGGUCGGGACAGAGGGUCGCCAACCCGCGAGGGGGAGCCAAUCCCGAAACCCGAUCGUAGUCCGGAUCGCAGUCUGCAACUCGACUGCGUGAAGUCAAGAAUCGCUUCAGUAAUCGCGGAUCAGCAUGUCGCGGUGAAUACGUUCCAGGUCUUGUACACACCGCCCGUCACACCAUGGGAGUGGGUUUUGCCAAGUAGUUAGCCUAACCGUAAGGAGGGCGAUUACCACGGUAGGAUUCAUGACUGGGGUGAAGUCGUAACAAGGUAA
RNAcentral lists this ribosomal RNA (1483 nucleotides) under uncultured Bordetella sp. RNAcentral's name for it is "partial 16S-23S ribosomal RNA intergenic spacer". It matches the Rfam family "Bacterial small subunit ribosomal RNA". The record is from RNAcentral. Lineage: Bacteria; Pseudomonadati; Pseudomonadota; Betaproteobacteria; Burkholderiales; Alcaligenaceae.